RNAcentral lists this unclassified non-coding RNA (181 nucleotides) under uncultured Didymella. RNAcentral describes it as "sequence contains ITS1". The record is from RNAcentral. Lineage: Eukaryota; Fungi; Ascomycota; Dothideomycetes; Pleosporales; Didymellaceae.
CAGAACCAAGAGAUCCGUUGUUAAAAGUUGUAAUUAUUAAGUUUUUCAGACGCUGACUGCAACUGCAAAUGGUUUAAUGUGGUCCUAACGGCAGGCGGACCUGCCGAGGAAACGUGUAGUACGCAAAAGACAUGGGUAAGAGAUGGCAGACAAAAGCCUGCAACUCUCGGUAAUGAUCCUU